GUAGGGGCCAAGCGUUAUCCGGAUUUAUUGGGGCGUAAAGAGCUCGUAGGCGGCUUGGCAAGUCGGUCGUGAAAGUCCGGGGGCUCAACCUCGGGAAUGCCGGGUCGAAACUGCCAUGGCUAGGGUUCGGUAGAGGAGAGUGGAAUUCUCGGUGUAGCGGUGAAAUGCGCAGAUAUCGAGAGGAACACCAGUAGCGAAGGCGGCUCUCUGGGCCGAUACCGACGCUGAGGAGCGAAAGCGUGGGGAGCAAACAGGAUUAGAUACCCUGGUAGUCCACGCCGUAAACGGUGAUCACUAGGUGUGGCGGACUCAUUGACGUCUGCUGUGCCGGCGCUAACGCAUUAAGUGAUCCGCCUGGGGAGUACGGCCGCAAGGCUA
This 378-nucleotide ribosomal RNA is filed under the name uncultured organism. RNAcentral describes it as "partial 16S ribosomal RNA". It matches the Rfam family "Bacterial small subunit ribosomal RNA", at positions 527 to 896 of the family's 1533-position model. The record is from RNAcentral.